AAUCACUGUCAGAGUCUAUGCUGGAAGCCGGUGGGCUGAUGGGCUUGUUGACCGUGGACCUGUCACCUGGGGAAGUGGAUGAGGCUGCCUCCGUCAGCGGUAGGCUAAAGCUGAUAUACUUCUGUACUUUGGGAUUGUGGUGGCUAGAGUUUAAGUCUUCCUCAUUAGGGCCAUUACACUCUAAGGCACCCUCCAUUAACCUGGACACUCUGGAAUGCACGAUCCUGUGGCAAAACCCACCUUCUUUACUGGGAAUAUUACUUGAAUUAGGAAAAAGCAACCCAUCUGCAGUUUCCUCUCUGUGAUUUGGAUCACAAGCCUCUUCAGUUUGCCUUGUGUCUUUAACGUCCGAGAGAUUUUCAGAACUGGAUACAUCAAGGUCAUUAUUGGCCAAUAACUGAAGUGAACAUGGCCCAUCGAAUUGGGAGGAAGGGGAAUCAGCUGAUGUGGGAGGACCAGAGGCAAUACGUUCUUCUUCCCUAUAAGGAUGUUCUUUCUCAUCAAUUUGACUUGUGUUUUCCUGCUCAUAUGUCUCCAUUUCACGGUUCCAACCCGCAUCCCCCUCAUCUUUUGGGCUAGGAGAGAGUUGUAGGUUCUCUGACGAGCACUCAACUUCAAUGGAAGCAGAACAGCAGAUCAUCCCAAAACAGUUUUUAGCAGAGAUUUGAUAAACAGCAGUGUCCUCUGGGGUACAGCUAGGAUGAAGAGAAGAUACAGGCCAUAAUCCCUCUGCUGGACAAACCGGCUACCCUGAAGAUACGAUGACUUCUGUGGAAAGAAGAGAAAGAAAGAAAAGAAAACAAGCCCAAGAGGCACAAAGGACCAGGAUGUACAAUGUCAAGAGUGAGCCUUGGUGUCAACCGUGGACUUGGGGUGAUAAAGACGCAUCAGUGGAAACUCAUCAGCAACAACCGUCCCACUCUGGUGGGGGAUAUGGACAGAGGAAGAGUCUGCAUUGGGUGCAGGAGUGGAUACAUAGAAAUUGUGCUUUCUGCUCCAUUUUGCUCUGAACCUAACACUGCCCUCAAAAACAGUCUAGUGAAUUCCAGCGCCUGGAAGCCACCAAGAAAAUCAGUGAACCAGCAACUCAGGGUGAAGGGCUUCACCACUGGUGUUUUUUAAGCCUCCUGGGUGAUGGUAAUGGGCAGUCAGAGUUCAGAAAGCAUUAGCUCCGGUACCUAGUGAACGAGGGAGGGGAUGACAGAGGAGGGAUUUCAGCCUGGAUGUGAAUGGGGAAUGGUUUCCUGGCUCUUGUUUGGCACAAAAGUACUGAGCUUUUGACAGCUUUUUGAGCCUCUGGGACCAAAUGCAGACCAACCAGACAUUCUCUGAACAAGGAAUGAGCAAAAUGAUUUCAGAAAGGAAAGCCUCUCAUGGCCUGACUGACAACAGGCUUAGUUAACAGAUGACUGACUCCUCUUAUCAAAAGAAAACUCAAAGGAGUUCCCCAGUGGUCUAGUGGUUAGGAUUCAGUGCUUUCACUGCUUCAGCCUAGAUUCAAUCCCUGGUCUGGGAACUGGGAUCCCACAUCAAGUUGCUCAGCCAAAAUAAAGGAAAAAAGGGUGGGUGGGGGGCAACUCAAGGGUUAGCUGGAAACAAUCCCCCCUUGCCCCAAUGGAUGGGCCACUAAGCCCGAGUAGUGUCCCAGAAUGUCUCUGGACUGGCCCCUGCGACUGGCCCCUCACUCCACCGUCUCCAGCCACAGGGACCUUAAACACUCCGACACCCCUGGGGCUUCUUCCUGCCCUUGCUCUCCACCAUCCACACCCUGAUGAGAACACUCUUUCUUGGAUAAUAAUCACGCCCUCUCCCACUCCUACCCAUCACACCUCUGCUCCCGGCCCCUCAUCAGACAGCCCAUUCCUCCCUGACACAACUUCCCUCCCUGCCCCUCACUUACUCUCUGUCACCAGACACUUUACUGGUGGUGUUAGUCUGUCCACUGUGUGACUCCCCCUUGAAACCCUAUUCCAUGAGAUUGGGGAUUCUGCUCCACUUUUACCACUGGUUCAAAGCCACCGCAGCAGGAGUGAAAGGAACUAAGUCAACCAGCUUCCUUAAAAAAAAGUGAAGAAGUUCUUUUUUUUUUUUUUUUUUUACUUUUUAGGGCUGCACAUGCAACAUAUGGAAGUUCCCAGGCUAGAGGUCGAAUCAGAGCUGCAGCUGCCAGCCUACGCCACAGCCACAGCAACACGGGAUUGGAGCUGCCUCUGUGACCUUCACCACAGCUCAUGGCAAUGCCAGAUCCCCAACCCACUGAGCAAGGCCAAGGAUUGAAUCCUCAUGGACACUAGUGGGUUCAUUACCACUGAGCCAUCAGGAACCCCUAGUGAAAAAGUUUGAUUGGACAUUUGAACAGAUGAUGGAAACUACGAAUGCAUGCCCAGCUCCUGGUCUGUCAGUUGACUUCAAACCUUUAGAAAGAAGAAGCUGGAGCAGUGACAGUUAAGAAUCCUAAACUCAGGAUCAUUACAGAAGCAGGGAUUGACGUCACCUUGUUACUCCAGCAGAGAAAGACUAAACACUGUAGUCAGUUCAUCAAAUGAUCCCCUUGUUUAUGUGUUUGGUCAGAGCAGACCAACAUUAUAGAGGCCCUUGGAUGGAAAAGGAACCCCUCUCUCUCCACCCGCCCUUGAAGGGGUUAGGACUCUGUAUAAAUAAAAACAGUGCUCCUGGAAAAUGAAACAAACAGCCCCUGGGAUGUAAUAGGCCCUCCAUGAAUCCUUAUUUUUAAAGGAACUGCACACAACGCCUUCUUUUUGAGUGACACCCCGGCAUGUGUGUUUAGUAGAUUUUGUUUUGCAGGACAGUGCUGGUUGAAUGAGAUGCACUGAGGGAUAGAACAGGACCCAGGGGUGCUGGGGACACAAUUCUUGGGUGAUCCUAGCUUGGCUGCUAACCAGUUUAGGAACUUGGAUGGGUCCCAUGGUCAUUCUGAGUCUCAAGUCAUCUAUAAAGUAGACCAAUUAUAUCAGCAUUUCUUGGGAACAGACACUGAGCAUCAGUAUUUUUCAAGAGUGCCCCAGGAAUAACAUAUAGACAGGAGUGGAAGAAUCCAUAAAGCAGGACCCUUCGUGCACCCCAGUCGCCUGGGAUCUUGUUAAAAAUGCCGAACUCAGGGUGGGGACUGGGAUUCUGGCAAAAUUCUAACGAGUCCCAGGAGAGGUUAACAGCGGCUGCUGGUCUGAAAUCAACCUUGAGUGACAAGGUCUUGGAGUUGCUUCCAGCUCUCUGACGCCACUGUAUCUGUGAGGAGUGAACGUUCAUUUAUUAAAUUCUCAGAAAAAUCCCAGCUGUCACUUGACCUGCAGCUCCAUUUGAGCCAAGUUCCCAGUCAAUGCCCAGCAGCUGUCCCCACAUGCAAUUCUGUGGGUCUUUGAGUGGGUUUUACUAUUAAAACAAAAAACAAAAAACUAGUUGAUCAGUGCAAGCAGGGGGAAUGUGCAAAAUCGGAUAUGAGAAUUCACUCAAAAAGCAGCCUGGGAGAUUGUGGUCAGGUUACAAGUUAAUUGCUGUUCUUGGACAGUAUUCUGUCAUGGGAUGUUGGUGCCAGCUGUGUCCCUCUUUGUCAUCUUCACCGGGUCAUCUGAUUGUGGGUAGGCAGGCAUGGUGACUGGCAGCAGACAGGAAAGCGGGGACUGGCAUGGUGCCUGGGGGAGCAGCUCCACAUUGGGGUACGGCUGGGCAGGGCUGACAAGGAGGAAGAAUCUCCACCCCAUUGGAGCAGCAGCCCAGGAAAUGGGGAACAACAAGACCAGAAGGCGGGCAGCCACAUGGUGCCCAGAAACUCAGGCUCCCUGGAGCUGAAUGGGCAACAGGAACUGCUGACAUGGUUGCCUUGUUCCUCCAGCUCCUGCAGGAGACCUUUUAACAUUAUUUUCUAUCUUCGCUUUGCCUCUAAAGUACCAGCAGAUGAACCACCAAGAAGCUACAAUAAAGGAGUUCCCAUUGUGGCUCUGCGGUAACAAACCCAACUAGUUAGUAACUAUGAGGAUGCGGGUUUGAUCCCUGGCCUCGCUCAGUGGGUUAAGGAUCCUAUGUGGCCGUGAGCUGUGGUGUAGGUCGCGGAUGCAGCUCCAUCUCCAAUUGGACCCCUAGCCUGAGACUUUCCUAUGACACAGAUGCAGCCCUAAAAAGCAAAGAAAAAAAAAAAAGAGGGAGAGAGAGAGAAGCUACAGUAAGUCAAAUCCUGUCCCCUGGGUUCAGAUGGCUGUCUGUAGAAUGGCUGUGGAGGAGAAAAAAUUAAAACUGACAAGGACAGAUGAACAGGAGAAAAUCAUGCAAAGUUUAUUGAAUUUGUACGUGUCCAUAAGAGCCUUCACAAGAGAAUAAAAACCACAAAAAAAAUGA
Long non-coding RNA from Sus scrofa (pig), 4350 nucleotides. RefSeq lists it as uncharacterized. Lineage: Eukaryota; Metazoa; Chordata; Mammalia; Artiodactyla; Suidae. The record is from RefSeq and is a predicted model, not a curated record.